RNAcentral lists this long non-coding RNA (1025 nucleotides) under Ananas comosus (pineapple). RNAcentral's name for it is "long non-coding RNA (ACOM_LNC036841)". The record is from RNAcentral. Lineage: Eukaryota; Viridiplantae; Streptophyta; Magnoliopsida; Poales; Bromeliaceae.
AAUGUUGUUCCGAUUUUGGUUCUUGUGAACGUUGACAUCGAUUCGUUCCAAAUUUACACGCUCGGGGCGUAAUAGAACAAUAUAAUUAGGCUUUACUCUUUAUUCGAUUGAAAGAGAAAAAGUACUCGUUGCAAAGUUUUACUGUUAGGGCGGAACUAAGUAAUCUAAUGUUGCUUCGGUUUUGGUUCUUGAACGUUGACAUCGAUUCGUUCCAAAUUUACACUCCCUGGGCAUAAUAGAACAAUAUAAUUAGGUUUUACGCUUUGUUCGAUAGAAUGAGAAAAAGUACUCAUUGCAAAGUUAUACUGCUAGGGCGCGACUGGGUAGUCUAAGGUUGUUCCGGCUUUUGUUCUUUUGAACGUUGACAUCGAUUCGUUCCAAAUUUACACUCUCGCGGCAUAAUAGAACAAUAUAAUUAGGUUUUACGCUUUGUUAGAUAGAAUGAGAAAAGUACUCGUUGCAAAGUUAUACUGUUUGGGCGCAACUGAGUAUUCUAAUGUUGUUCCUGUUUUGGUUAUUGUGAACGUUGACAUCGAUUCGUUCCAAAUUUACACUCUCAAGGAAUAAUAGAACAAUAUAAUUAGGUUUUACGCUUUCUUCGAUAAAAUGAGAAAAAGUACUCGUUGCAAAGUUAUACUGUUAGGGUGCAACUGAGUAGUCUAGUUUUGUUCCGAUUUUGGUUUUUGUGAACGUUGACAAUGAUUCGUUCCAAAUUUACUCUCUCGGGGCAUAAUAGAACAAUAUAAUUAGGUUUUACUCUUUGUUUGAUAGAAUGAGAAAAAGUACUCGUUGCAAAGUUAUACUGUUAGGGCGCAACUGAGUAGUCUAAUGUUCUUCCGGUUUUUGUUCUUCUGAACAUUGACAUCGAUUCGUUCCAAAUUUACACUCUCGAGGCAUAAUAAAACGAUAUAAUUAGGUUUUACUUUUUGUUCGAUAGAAUGAGAAAAAGUACUCGUUGCAAAGUUAUACUGUUAGGGCGCAACUGAGUAGUCUAAUGUUGUUCUGGUUUUCGUUCUUGUGAACGU